UGACACAUGUAAUGUACGUUUGUAAGUAAGUUUAAAAACGACGAAAGGCUUAUAAAAAUUGUAUUGAAGAGAAGAGAAAAGUUAUAAUGGUUUGACAAUAUAGAAUUCACAGUUCCCAAUGGAGGAAGAGAGAGAGGGAGAGGGGGCGGCAGAGGUGGGGGGAAGAAAGGGACGUGUGCAUGGGAGUGAUUAAGCGUCGCCUCAUUCACCCGUUGUUGUCAUUCCUUAAUUACCACUGCCAUUACUUUUUUUUUUUUCUUUUCUUUUUUUUUU
Molecule: long non-coding RNA, 273 nt
Filed under: Capsella rubella
Lineage: Eukaryota; Viridiplantae; Streptophyta; Magnoliopsida; Brassicales; Brassicaceae
Description: long non-coding RNA (CRUB_LNC003436)
Source: RNAcentral